AAAUAACGGUGGGAGACCGAUAGCGAACAAGUACCGUGAGGGAAAGAUGAAAAGCACUUUGAAAAGAGGGUGAAAAGAACCUGAAACCGUUACGGGGGAAGCGGAUUGCAUUAUUCUAGUUUUAACGUGUUCAACCUUUUAGGUGCAUUGACGUUAAAACUUAUCUGCUGUGGAUUUUUGAUAAUUGAAAAUGAAUUAUUAAAGAUUGAGGGCUCCACUUUGUGUGAGGACAGCGGAUUGACGAUGCGAUACGACCCGUCUUGAAACACGGACCAAGGAGUCUAGCGCGGGUGCGAGUCGGAAGGUGUAAAAACCUGUGGGCGAAGUGAAAGCGAGAUAAAACUCUCAGUUUGAGGCGGCAUAUUUUCGUUGAAAAUAGGUCCGACCUUGAGCAGUUGCGCUGGGACCCGAAAGAUGGUGAACUAUGCCGGAGUAGGGCAAAGCCAGAGGAAACUCUGGUGGAGGC
Molecule: ribosomal RNA, 466 nt
Filed under: Gelidium sp. LLG-2014
Lineage: Eukaryota; Rhodophyta; Florideophyceae; Gelidiales; Gelidiaceae
Description: eukaryotic LSU rRNA
Rfam family: Eukaryotic large subunit ribosomal RNA
Source: RNAcentral